This 575-nucleotide ribosomal RNA is filed under the name Meyerozyma guilliermondii. RNAcentral describes it as "eukaryotic LSU rRNA". It matches the Rfam family "Eukaryotic large subunit ribosomal RNA", at positions 77 to 669 of the family's 3401-position model. The record is from RNAcentral. Lineage: Eukaryota; Fungi; Ascomycota; Pichiomycetes; Serinales; Debaryomycetaceae.
GCCUUAGUAGCGGCGAGUGAGCGGCAAAAGCUCAAAUUUGAAAUCUGGCGCCUUCGGUGUCCGAGUUGUAAUUUGAAGAUUGUAACCUUGGGGUUGGCUCUUGUCUAUGUUUCUUGGAACAGGACGUCACAGAGGGUGAGAAUCCCGUGCGAUGAGAUGCCCAAUUCUAUGUAAGGUGCUUUCGAAGAGUCGAGUUGUUUGGGAAUGCAGCUCUAAGUGGGUGGUAAAUUCCAUCUAAAGCUAAAUAUUGGCGAGAGACCGAUAGCGAACAAGUACAGUGAUGGAAAGAUGAAAAGAACUUUGAAAAGAGAGUGAAAAAGUACGUGAAAUUGUUGAAAGGGAAGGGUUUGAGAUCAGACUCGAUAUUUUGUGAGCCUUGCCUUCGUGGCGGGGUGACCCGCAGCUUAUCGGGCCAGCAUCGGUUUGGGCGGUAGGAUAAUGGCGUAGGAAUGUGACUUUACUUCGGUGAAGUGUUAUAGCCUGCGUUGAUGCUGCCUGCCUAGACCGAGGACUGCGAUUUUAUCAAGGAUGCUGGCAUAAUGAUCCCAAACCGCCCGUCUUGAAACACGGACCAA